UGGAGGACCGAACCGACUAAUGUUGAAAAAUUAGCGGAUGACUUGUGGCUAGGGGUGAAAGGCCAAUCAAACUCGGAGAUAGCUGGUUCUCCCCGAAAGCUAUUUAGGUAGCGCCUCGGACGAAUACUACUGGGGGUAGAGCACUGUUAAGGCUAGGGGGUCAUCCCGACUUACCAACCCUUUGCAAACUCCGAAUACCAGUAAGUACUAUCCGGGAGACACACGGCGGGUGCUAACGUCCGUCGUGGAGAGGGAAACAACCCAGACCGCCAGCUAAGGUCCCAAAUGAUUACUAAGUGGGAAACGAUGUGGGAAGGCUCAGACAGCUAGGAUGUUGGCUUAGAAGCAGCCAUCAUUUAAAGAAAGCGUAAUAGCUCACUAGUCGAGUCGGCCUGCGCGGAAGAUGUAACGGGGCUAAGUAAUCAACCGAAGCUGCGGCAAUGCAAUUUAUUGCAUUGGGUAGGGGAGCGUUCUGUAAGCCGUUGAAGGUGUGUUGUAAAGCAUGCUGGAGGUAUCAGAAGUGCGAAUGCUGACAUGAGUAACGAUAAAGGGGGUGAAAAACCUCCUCGCCGGAAGACCAAGGGUUCCUGUCCAACGUUAAUCGGGGCAGGGUGAGUCGACCCCUAAGGCGAGGCCGAAAGGCGUAGUCGAUGGGAAACGGGUUAAUAUUCCCGUACUUCUUACAAUUGCGAUGGGGGGACGGAGAAGGCUAGGUGGGCCUGGCGACGGUUGUCCAGGUUCAAGUGCGUAGGCUUGAGAGUUAGGUAAAUCCGGCUCUCUUUAAGGCUGAGACACGAUGUCGAGCUACUACGGUAGUGAAGUCAUUGAUGCCAUGCUUCCAGGAAAAGCCUCUAAGCUUCAGAUUGUAAGGAAUCGUACCCCAAACCGACACAGGUGGUCGGGUAGAGAAUACCAAGGCGCUUGAGAGAACUCGGGUGAAGGAACUAGGCAAAAUGGUACCGUAACUUCGGGAGAAGGUACGCUCUUGACGGUGAAGUCCCUUGCGGAUGGAGCUGAUGAGAGUCGCAGAUACCAGGUGGCUGCAACUGUUUAUUAAAAACACAGCACUGUGCAAAAUCGUAAGAUGACGUAUACGGUGUGACGCCUGCCCGGUGCCGGAAGGUUAAUUGAUGGGGUUAGACUUCGGUCGAAGCUCUUGAUCGAAGCCCCGGUAAACGGCGGCCGUAACUAUAACGGUCCUAAGGUAGCGAAAUUCCUUGUCGGGUAAGUUCCGACCUGCACGAAUGGCGUAAUGAUGGCCACGCUGUCUCCACCCGAGACUCAGUGAAAUUGAAAUCGCUGUGAAGAUGCAGUGUACCCGCGGCUAGACGGAAAGACCCCGUGAACCUUUACUACAGCUUGGCACUGAACAUUGAACCUACAUGUGUAGGAUAGGUGGGAGGCUUUGAAGCGCAGACGCUAGUUUGUGUGGAGCCGUCCUUGAAAUACCACCCUUGUAUGUUUGAUGUUCUAACUCAGACCCGUUAUCCGGGUCGAGGACAGUGCCUGGUGGGUAGUUUGACUGGGGCGGUCUCCUCCCAAAGAGUAACGGAGGAGCACGAAGGUGGGCUAAACACGGUUGGACAUCGUGUGGUUAGUGCAAUGGCAUAAGCCCGCUUGACUGCGAGAAUGACAAUUCGAGCAGGUGCGAAAGCAGGUCAUAGUGAUCCGGUGGUUCUGAAUGGAAGGGCCAUCGCUCAACGGAUAAAAGGUACUCCGGGGAUAACAGGCUGAUACCGCCCAAGAGUUCAUAUCGACGGCGGUGUUUGGCACCUCGAUGUCGGCUCAUCACAUCCUGGGGCUGAAGUCGGUCCCAAGGGUAUGGCUGUUCGCCAUUUAAAGUGGUACGCGAGCUGGGUUUAGAACGUCGUGAGACAGUUCGGUCCCUAUCUGCCGUGGGCGUUGGAGAAUUGAAGGGGGCUGCUCCUAGUACGAGAGGACCGGAGUGGACGAACCUCUGGUGUUCGGGUUGUUACGCCAGUAGCAUUGCCCGGUAGCUAAGUUCGGAAUUGAUAACCGCUGAAAGCAUCUAAGCGGGAAGCAAGCCCUGAGAUGAGUUCUCCCUGGC
This 2068-nucleotide ribosomal RNA is filed under the name Vibrio diazotrophicus. RNAcentral's name for it is "bacterial LSU rRNA". It matches the Rfam family "Bacterial large subunit ribosomal RNA", at positions 767 to 2819 of the family's 2925-position model. Lineage: Bacteria; Pseudomonadati; Pseudomonadota; Gammaproteobacteria; Vibrionales; Vibrionaceae. The record is from RNAcentral.